This 458-nucleotide long non-coding RNA is filed under the name Nicotiana benthamiana. RNAcentral describes it as "long non-coding RNA (NBEN_LNC042407)". The record is from RNAcentral. Lineage: Eukaryota; Viridiplantae; Streptophyta; Magnoliopsida; Solanales; Solanaceae.
UUCUCUCUACUCUCUCUCUCUAACUUUCUGUGAUUUCUCUCGUAUAAUCUCAACAUUCACAAAAACUGACUGGGAUCUUGUCAUCUUUGUCAAUAUUUAAGAUGAUCGAUGCAAACAUCAGAAACCACGAUUUUCACCGAGGGGUUCAACAAUUUUGACCUUACAUAUAUGUAAAGUAAUUUUCUGACAAAGGAAAGUAAGGAAGCAAAACUAGAAAAGACUGAGGUACUCGACAAAAAACCCUAAAGAAUUAAUAAAUAUACACAGAAAUAAAGAAAGUUUUCAAGUGUAAAGGGAACUUUUUUUUAUUGUUUUAAAAAAAGGAAAGAACAUCUUUAAACCUUUACAUCUAUAUGUUCUUAUGUGUAAUGAAGCAAAUUCGUCCACUUUACUUUGGAAAGAGAAGAGAAACUACAAACUAUAGAAAAGGAGAUAAAGUGUAGGAGGAGAGAUGACAG